UCACGUCAGCUAGAAAAAUGUCCGUUAAUAAGGCUGCAUACUUGGGGAUCGCGUGGCCUGCCUGAGUGGGGGAGGAGCUGGCCUGCUGUUCAUUUUACUCUCUUGCCUCAUCGGAGAAUAAUUUCUCUUUUUUUAGUCACUUACCACCACGGAUGAAGUUAGACGGUUGCGGAUACUAGCUUGUAGGGAUUCUGAGCCGUUUUCCUCUCUUUUUAACUUGUUUAAAUGGGUUUUUAUUGACACCACGCCGACGCCAGAACGCUUUCAGUAACAGCCUAACCCGUUGGACCUACCUUAUUUCCUUUGUGUUGCAUUUCGCGUGCAAAGGUUGUUUUGAUAAACUAAUCAGUUUGUAGCAUACUUAUUAUGGGCUAGAUUUAAAAUUUUUUUGUAUCCUUUGUAUAGGUCUCAGGUGAGGACUUCUGGGCAUACAUUUAUUCUGGAAGCACAUUGUUCUGUUCAGAAGUAGGGGUGUGUGUGUGUACAGUAGGCUUCAUGCCCAGUGUGGAACCCAGCACAGAGCCCAAUGCAGGGAUUGAACAUGACCCUGAGAUCAAGACCUGAGCUGAGAUCAAGACUUGGAUGCUUAACCAACUGAGCCACCCAGAGAUGUAUCUAGUAAGAAGUUGCUACAGCCUGGCCCCUGUCAAAGAGGUUACUGUUUGUGUACUCCUCUAGGACUUUGAUGGUUUCCUCUCCCACGCAAAGGUAGGUCUUUCAUCCAUUUUGAAUUUAUUUUUUUGUAUGGUAUAAGAAAGUGGCCAGUGUCAUUCUUCUGCCUGUUGCUGUCCAGUUUUCCCAACCCCAUUUGUUGAAGAGAGUGUCUUAUUCCCAUGGGAUAUUCUUUCCAGCUUUGUGGAAGAUCAGUUGACCAUAUAGUUGUGAGUUCAUUUCUGGGUUUUCUAUUGUUCCAUUGAUGUAUGUGUUUAUUUUUGUGCCAAUUCCAUACUGUCUUGAUCACUACAGGUUUCUUUUUUUUAAAAAAAAAAUUUUUUUUAAUGUUUAUUUAUUUUUGAGACAGAGAGAGACAGAGCAUGAAUGGGGGAGGAUCAGAGAGAGGGAGACACAGAAUCCGAAACAGGCCCCAGGCUCCGAGCUGUCAGCACAGAGCCCGACGCGGGGCUCGAACUCGCGGACCGCGAGAUGAUGACCUGAGCCGAAGUUGGCCGCUUAACCGACUGAGCCACCCAAGCGCCACGAUCACUACAGGUUUCUAAUAUAGCUUGAAGUCCAGAAUUGUGAUGCCUCGAGCUUAGCUUUUCUUUUUCAAGAUUUCUUUGGCUAUCUGGGGUCUUUUGUGGCUCUAUAUAAAUUUAAGGAUUGUUCUAGCUAUGUGAAAAAUGCUGGUGGUGUUUUGAUAGGUGUUAUAUGAAAUGUGUAGAUUGCUUUGGGUAGUAUAGACAUUUUAACAAUAUUUGUUGUAAUCCAUGAAUGUGGAAUGUUUUUUCAUUUCUUUUUUUUAUUUUAAAAGGUUUCUUUCUUUUUUAAUUUAUUUUGAGAGAAACA
This is a long non-coding RNA of Panthera uncia (snow leopard), 1506 nucleotides long. RefSeq lists it as uncharacterized. The transcript is spliced from 3 exons. NCBI's taxonomy places the organism in Eukaryota, Metazoa, Chordata, Mammalia, Carnivora, Felidae. The record is from RefSeq and is a predicted model, not a curated record.